GCGCGCCGGGGGCGGCCCAGACCCACCUGGGGGCGCGCAGGCGGCUCCGGGGCGCCGGGACGGGCCUGCGCUCGGGGCGCGCAGGGCGCGCGGCCUCCGGCCCCCCGGCGACACUUCUUUACUCCAUCUGAAGAGGGGGAGUGGAACCCGGCCUCCGCGGCCUCCAAGGUCCAGUGGCUCCAGCACAGCCAGGGUCAGAGUCCUGUGAGGAGCUGUCACUACUGCUGUAGUGGAGCUGGCCGGCCACCGGCCGCAGGUUCCCGGCUUCUCCUUAUUAUUAAGGCCAUAAUAACCUCCCCGGGUGACAUCACAGGAUCACUGGAGUCACUGCCUGCUUCCUAACAGGAAGUCCCACAGGAGGGUAGCCGGAGCCAUUAGAACCUGGAAGUCACAGCCGAGUGCUUGACCAUCUGCUUCUUCAACUGUGGAGCCUGCACAGGUGCUUCUUACCCUCCCUAUCACCCUUCAGAGGGAGACAGUGUUGACCUGGCUCCUAGGGCGACCUUAACAAGUUACCUCCACCCCGUGACUUAAAGCAGACCUGAGUGCUGGAGGCCAGCCUGCAAGGUGUGAAAUCAGUGCCAGCAGCACCACGCUCUCAGCUUCUCAGCUCUCCGAAGGAAGGCUCGAGGGGGCCAUCCUUCCUGCCUCCUCCAGCUCCUGGUGGCUCCAGGGGCUCCUUGGCGUGGAUCAGCAUCACUCCCAUCUCUGCCUCUGUCUUCACAGGGCCCGGUCCCCUGUGUGUGCUCUCCCUUUCUCUCUUCUUACAAGGACGCGCUGCAUUUAGGGCGCCCCCAAACCCAGAACGAUCUCCUCCCCAGGGGUCCUUGUAAUAUCCACAAAGACCCCUUUUCCAAAUAAGGUCCCGUUCACCGGGUCCAGGCAAAGAUGAUGUUUGGUCUAAAAAUGUGUGUUUCUUGCCCUACCGGUUUGGCUCAGUGGAUAGAGCGUCGGCCUGCAGAUUGAAGGGUCCCGGGUUUGAUUCCAGUCAAGGGCACAUACCCGGGUGGUGAGCUGAAUCCCCAGUGGGGGGCAUGCAGGAGGUAGCUAAUCAAUGAUUCUCAUCAUUGAUGUUUCUAUCUCUCUCUACCUCUCCCUUCCUCUCUGAA
This is a long non-coding RNA of Eptesicus fuscus (big brown bat), 1109 nucleotides long. RefSeq lists it as uncharacterized. The record is from RefSeq and is a predicted model, not a curated record. The transcript has 4 exons. Lineage: Eukaryota; Metazoa; Chordata; Mammalia; Chiroptera; Vespertilionidae.